GUCUGUUUUGCUUUUGCUAUUAAGUUUCUGGGACUACGCUUCGAAAAAAAAAUAUCAUGUAGAAUGUGAAGUUAAUUCAUAUGCACUACUAUUUUGUUUUCAAAUAUCAAAAUAUAGAGCUGUGCCGCAUAUUUUCAACGUUUAUAUAUGCCUGGAACUUUGAAGAGUUUUAACUUGCACUAAUAUUCUGUACAACGUACCUUGUACGCUUACCUCUACCUAAAGGUGAUCUGUAAGAGAUAACUUUGUCCUGGUAAAAUAUGUCCGGGCAGACAUACAUUACUAGUAGAAAAAGUCCCUAGAGUGUUUAAAUUUCCGUGUGUGCCUAUGUUUCUAAUAAAAAUGCUACAAGACUUAAAACUCAAUUGUCACAUAUUUUACAUCGCAUUUAUAAAUGAUCUUUAUGGAAAACUUGGGCGAUUUUACUGCCAAAUAUUCUUCACUUCACAGGCUUUUGUCACCUUUGGUUCAUGUCAGAUAUAAAUAAUAUAGCAAUGCUGGUCGAAGGCAUCGUUAACAUAAUCAUCCUGAUCUACGGAUCACAAAAGGCCAUCCCUACAUAGAAUACAACGUCCGUUUACACAAAAUACUACGGUUUGUACACACGUUGAUAAUUUUGUAUUAAACGAACUUUUUUGUAAAUGAACCCUGCUCUUCAAGUAUAAAGAUGCAGAGUUAACGUACGUCAUAUCAUGAUUUCAAAGCGUUCAACAUCGAUUUCAAACAAAUGCUUUGAAACUCUAAAUGCAAGUGUUCAUGUCAAACGCUCACGUGAUACCAAACGGACUAGACCUUUCACGAUAAAGAUAAAACCCGAGGAUUCCGGUAAAAAAGUUUUGAGCGGGAAAUACAAAUAAAAGAUUUUUGGUAGGAACGAAAAAAUAAAAUAAAAUAAAAUCUUGCUGAUAAAUACAAAUAAAAGAUUUUCAGGCGGAACGAAUUUAUAGGGUCGGUCGGUAAAGGGCAAACAAACAAUAUUUUAAUUUAAGCCCUAGUAUGAU
Molecule: long non-coding RNA, 1001 nt
Filed under: Mytilus galloprovincialis (Mediterranean mussel)
Lineage: Eukaryota; Metazoa; Mollusca; Bivalvia; Mytilida; Mytilidae
Source: RNAcentral